This 614-nucleotide ribosomal RNA is filed under the name uncultured Microgenomates group bacterium. RNAcentral describes it as "bacterial SSU rRNA". It matches the Rfam family "Bacterial small subunit ribosomal RNA", at positions 8 to 661 of the family's 1533-position model. The record is from RNAcentral.
AGAGUUUGAUCCUGGCUCAGGAUUAACGCUGGCGGCAUGCCUUAUGCAUGCAAGUAGAACGAGUUAGUAGCAAUACUAACUAGUUGCGAACGGCUGAGUAAUGGAUAGGAAUCUCCCCGAUGGUGUGGAAUACCUCAUCGAAAGAUGAGCUAAUACCGCAUGACCCCGCAAGGGAAAAGCGCUUAACUGCGCGCCGACGGAUGAGCCUAUCUUCCAUCAGGCUGUUGGUGGGGUAAUGGCCUACCAAACCUAUGACGGAUACCCGCCCUGAGAGGGGAAACGGGCAGAAUGGGACUGAGACACGGCCCAUACAACUACGGUUGGCAGCAACAGGGAAUCGUGCGCAAUGGACGAAAGUCUGACGCCGCAAUGCCGCGUGGAGGAUUAAGGCCUUAGGGUCGUAAACUCCUUUUGCCAUGGGGGAGAUACCAUGGAGAAUAAGUGACUGCUAACUCUGUGCCAGCAGCCGCGGUAAUACAGAGGUCACAAGCGUUAUCCGGAUUUAUUGGGCGUAAAGCGUUUCGUAGGUUACUUACUAAGUUACUCUUCAAAGACUACGGCUCAACCGGAGGAAGGGGAGUAAGACUGGUAGGAUUGAAUAGUGGUGGGGUAUC